AGCUCCGAUAGCGUAUAUUAAAGUUGUUGCAGUUAAAAAGCUCGUAGUUGAACUUCUAUGUAUUUGUUAGUCGCCUUUAUGGUUUGAUUGACUUUGCAUAUCCCCUUUGGCUUAACAGCACGCACUUCGAUGGGCGGUUGCGUAGCCAAGGAAUUUACUUUGAAAAAAUUAGAGUGUUUCAGGCAGGCGAAUUGCUGGAAUACAUUAGCAUGGAAUAAUAGAACACGACCUCUGUAUUCAAUUGGUAUUUUGGUGGGAGGUAAUGAUUAACAGGGACAGUUGGGGGCAUUAGUAUUGUAUUGUCAGAGGUGAAAUUCAUUGAUUAAUGCAAGACUAACUUAUGCGAAAAGCAUUUGCCAAGGAUGUUUUCA
Molecule: ribosomal RNA, 371 nt
Filed under: Colpodea sp. BioMarKs_Marine_Colpodea_OTU_17
Lineage: Eukaryota; Ciliophora; Colpodea
Description: bacterial SSU rRNA
Rfam family: Eukaryotic small subunit ribosomal RNA
Source: RNAcentral